This is a long non-coding RNA of Bombus impatiens (common eastern bumble bee), 135 nucleotides long. RefSeq lists it as uncharacterized. Lineage: Eukaryota; Metazoa; Arthropoda; Insecta; Hymenoptera; Apidae. The record is from RefSeq and is a predicted model, not a curated record. The transcript is spliced from 3 exons.
CCUCUGAUAAUACCGAUGACAGUACCGCGUUGUCUUCCCCUAUCCUUAGGUAUACCUAUCAAGCGAUACAGUCUAAUACACGUUUAAACAAAAAGACUAGCAUUACACAGUGAUUAUUGUUGUUGCGUUGCCAUU